This 574-nucleotide ribosomal RNA is filed under the name uncultured bacterium. Its description in RNAcentral is "bacterial SSU rRNA". It matches the Rfam family "Bacterial small subunit ribosomal RNA", at positions 338 to 939 of the family's 1533-position model. The record is from RNAcentral.
CCUACGGGAGGCAGCAGUGGGGAAUAUUGGACAAUGGGCGAAAGCCUGAUCCAGCAAUGCCGCGUGAGUGAUGAAGGCCUUCGGGUCGUAAAGCUCUUUUACCAGGGAUGAUAAUGACAGUACCUGGAGAAUAAGCUCCGGCUAACUCCGUGCCAGCAGCCGCGGUAAUACGGAGGGAGCUAGCGUUGUUCGGAAUUACUGGGCGUAAAGAGUACGUAGGCGGUUAUUCAAGUCAGAGGUGAAAGCCCGGGGCUCAACCCCGGAACUGCCUUUGAAACUAGAUAACUAGAGUCUUGGAGAGGUUAGUGGAAUUCCGAGUGUAGAGGUGAAAUUCGUAGAUAUUCGGAAGAACACCAGUGGCGAAGGCGACUAACUGGACAAGUACUGACGCUGAGGUACGAAAGCGUGGGGAGCAAACAGGAUUAGAUACCCUGGUAGUCCACGCCGUAAACGAUGAUAACUAGUUGUUCGGUCACUUGGUGACUGAGUGACGCAGCUAACGCAUUAGUAUCCGCCUGGGAUCGGUGCAGNUAAACUAAUGAAUUGACGGNNGNGANGCAGNGANAGAGGAGAG